This 255-nucleotide unclassified non-coding RNA is filed under the name Hevea brasiliensis (rubber tree). Lineage: Eukaryota; Viridiplantae; Streptophyta; Magnoliopsida; Malpighiales; Euphorbiaceae. The record is from RNAcentral.
GGACAUUAAGGCAAAAAAAAAGUUCACGGGAUCACGGCUUUGUACUAUGAAAUACCGAAAGUAGCCCUCCCGUGUCCAGUCCCGUGCAUGAAGGAUUUUACCUAUUAAUGACAGACGGAGAUGAAGUUGCUGGGACUGGGAGCUUGUGCUAUUCUACAGCUUUCUCGGAAAGUGCGAGAAAGAGAGGCAGGAAUUUUGCUGCUCUGCAUAAUCUAUGCAACCGUGGAUCGAGCUCAACGCUUCGAUUUCAAAAUU